AGUCCUUCCUGUUCGCCCCGCCCCUUUGUUUUGUUCUCAUCUGGAACGUGAACAGGCCGCUUGUGUUUGAACAGGUAGCUAGAAGACGACUGAAAACUAAGAGGAUUACGUUUACAAUCCAACCGGUGAGUAAAUCAUUAAGGUAUCUACUAACGGCCAGAAGGGGGUCGUCCAAAAAUAUGUAAUUAGCAAGUUGUUAGGUUUACAUAACCGCUAAUUUAGCUGGAUAGCUUCUCUUCAGACUAGCUGUUGAUUUUUUUUAGCUUAGUACCUAGCUAGCUAAUUGCUCUUGUAAACAAUGUUUUAAGCUGUAGUUCAUACUGAGUCGCUAUUCGAAUAAAAUGAUUGUUUUCUGACUCGUAGCUACAGGCAUAUCGAUUGUAGCUACUAUAUGAAAUCAUCAACGAGUUACUGUUGUAUUAUCUGUCUGUAUUAGCCAUGUUAGCUAACGUUAGCUGCUUCUUCUUCUUUAGGAUUUGAUUGGCGAAUCGCAUCCAACUUUUAGGGGCGCACGGCGCCACCUACUGUACUGGUGUGUGAGGCCAUUCGGCCUACGUACGUUAAUUGAUAUGGUAAUACAAAAUUAGGGAAAAGGAAAAUUGCCCUGCCAACUAUAAUAAUAAUAAAAAAACACCACCCCAAUCCACUAUUUGACCCUCUUCUAAACUCUACUCCAGACCAAUGGUCUGAGAGAACAGAACACUACCACUCUCUGUUUCCCCCACACUCUCCACCAGGUCUGAGAGAACAGACCACUACCACUCAACACUCUCUGUUUCCCCCACGCUCUCCACCAGGUCUGAGAGAACAGAACACUACCACUCAACACUCUCUGUUUCCCCCACACUCUCCACCAGGUCUGAGAGAACAGAACACUACCACUCUCUGUUUCCCCAUGCUCUCCACCAGGUCUGAGAGAACAGAACACUACCACUCAACACUCUCUGUGUUCCCCACGCUCUCCACCAGGUCUGAGAGAACAGAACACUACCACUCUCUGUUUCCCCACGCUCUCCACCAGGUCUGAGAGAACAGAACACUACCACUCUCUGUUUCCCCACGCUCUCCACCAGGUCUGAGAGAACAGAACACUACCACUCUCUGUUUCCCCCACACUCUCCACCAGGUCUGUGUCGCACCAAACGGCGGCGGUUAUAAACACUGGGAAACUUCAACUGAUCCUCCUCAACACUUAAUGCCAGCCCAUGUAUCACUCCUUUCAAAGAUACCCUGCUCCAUAGAGCAAAGCAAAUCACAUGUCCCUAAUGGUGUGAUCUGUAGCGCCCGCUCCCCCUGGGCUGAAGAAACACAGUAAAUCAUCACUUAUCCACUCCUAGUUACUCUCACCACCUCAACAGUCCCCAACCUCUUCUCCACCCAACCUGACAGCACAUAUGGAUCUGCCCCCCCCCCCCCCCAAAAAAAAAUGCAAGGAACCAUUUUUCUUUCUACACACCCACCCCUUUCUACACACCCACCCCUUUCUACACACCCA
This 1495-nucleotide long non-coding RNA is filed under the name Oncorhynchus mykiss (rainbow trout). Its description in RNAcentral is "lncRNA (ENSOMYG00000066081.1)". The record is from RNAcentral. Lineage: Eukaryota; Metazoa; Chordata; Actinopteri; Salmoniformes; Salmonidae.